UUUUUGUUACGAGUGAAAUAAUAAUCUACAUAUACAUUUUUGCAGCCAUUUUGUGAAAUAAAUCUUGUAGUUAGGAUACAAUGAUUGCCAUUGGAUUUUAAUAUUUGUUUUUGAUAAUUAGAAAAAAAAUCUUUGAAUUAAAUAUUUGACAUUUAACAAUCUUCAUAAAAUCUCUCGACAUUAACUACACGAUUGGUUACUAAAAUAAAACUUUCAAAAUAUUUAAUAUCAUUUAAUUACUACAAAAUUAUCAUUAUUGAUAUUGUUUUUCUGCAUGACUAUUACAAUUCGAUUAUAAUCAUCAAACCGCAGAGAUAUCUGAUAGCAUUUAGUUACUACAAAAUUACAAAAUAUUUAGACAAUGAUUCAUAAACAUAUGAUAAAUAAAAUAAAUGAGUUUUUUUUACGGGACGGGUUGGCGGGACGGGUUUGGUAGGACGUUACUUAAUAACAAUUCUAAACUAUAAAAUAAAAAUAUUUUAUAGAUAAAUAUAAUUUACAAACUUUUAUAUAUACUAACUUUAAAAUAUAAAUUGUCCCCACGGUAUACCGCGGGUGAAAAUCUAGUUCUUAUACAUAAC
RNAcentral lists this small RNA (581 nucleotides) under Arabidopsis thaliana (thale cress). RNAcentral's name for it is "ATSL154720". The record is from RNAcentral. Lineage: Eukaryota; Viridiplantae; Streptophyta; Magnoliopsida; Brassicales; Brassicaceae.